GAAUUAUGUAGUCCAAAAAUUAAAAUACGAAAAUGUAAAACCUACUCUAUCUAAACUAAUUCUAAACUAAACUCCACCUGAUAUUCCAACACUUGACCGUGCGCCAUCUUCAAGUAUAAUUUUCUCAGAGAAUUUCCCGGAUAAAACAAUACAGAUACCUCGGGGCAUUCCUCGGCCAAUGAAAUACAAUUUCAAGUUUUCUGCGAUAAAGUAGAAAGAACAAUUCACACGCACAUUCAAACAUUCCACAAAACUCCAUUCUUAAAUUUUGCGUACCCAACCUAGCCUUUGCCUACUAGUUUCGAUCUAAAACAUGACAUUAUCAAAUUUAGUAAAUCCGACACCUAUUUUGCAUCAAACAAACAACAAUUAAUCAAUACAAAUUAAUCACGUUCAUUUUUAUCCAUUUUCCAUUCUCACCCCCAAAUUCAUUCUCAACAUGAUUAAACUAAUUUAAUUACGCAAUCCAUCAAUCAAGUAAAUCAACUACGCAUUCACACAAGCAAUUAUUCAUCACCAAUGGAGAUCAACCAAUUCACGAUAUUCAAUCCAAUACAUCGAAUAUGAUAAACAAUGAAAUAAAAAGAGAAAAAAAUAGAAUUGAACCUCAAUUGUCGAUUUACAUAUAUCGAAGAUAGAACCGCGUCCGAAAAACCUUGAAUCCGACCACAGUAACGAACAACACCACUGGGUAUCGGGAAAUACAAACGACACAGAUUUAAAACAAGUGCAGACAACCUCAAUAAGAACUCCGAAUCACGGAUUCCAAAUUCGAACUCCGUUUUACCUAAAACCGAUCGUUUUUCCGUGUAUUUUUGCCAAAAAUUAGAGUAGACAGGGUGGGUUUGGUUGGAGUUUGACGAUGUUUUGUUUUUUCGGUAAAAUUUCACUAAAAUCAGGACAAACGGAUCGAUUUGGUUAUUGAUUUUUUGGUCCGUUUUAGGAUGGAGCCUGAGAUGAUAACGUUCUUCGGCAGAAGCUCACCGGAACUGAUGCGAAUCAUCGGUGAGACGCCAUUUUUGGUGAAACUUCACCGAAAAAUCUCAACUCUCUUUCUAUUUUUGUCUCGAUUCACUCUAAUUACCUCCUCUAUUUUCACUCUGCCCCGUCGAUCCUCACUUGCCAGUUUUCCUCCCUUUACUAUGUGAGUAUCAUGUAUAUGUGAGAGUGCCUGUGUGUGAGAUUGUUGCCGUCUAUUGUUGCUGUGAGUGACGAAUGGAGGAGUUGUAUGUGCAGAUAUGGCUGUGUGUGUGUUAUUCUGUUUAGAGAAAAUGGAAAUUGGAGUGCAUUCUGUAUUCCUGUUUUCAAUGGAGAAAUAUGUGGAGUAUAUGCCUUCUCCUCCUCCCAGUGAAUGGAAAAUUCCCUAUAUCUAUUGUUGUGGUGUGCGUAU
Molecule: long non-coding RNA, 1390 nt
Filed under: Capsicum annuum
Lineage: Eukaryota; Viridiplantae; Streptophyta; Magnoliopsida; Solanales; Solanaceae
Description: long non-coding RNA (CANN_LNC015363)
Source: RNAcentral